Long non-coding RNA from Seriola dumerili (greater amberjack), 367 nucleotides. RefSeq lists it as uncharacterized. Lineage: Eukaryota; Metazoa; Chordata; Actinopteri; Carangiformes; Carangidae. The record is from RefSeq and is a predicted model, not a curated record. The transcript has 3 exons.
ACAUUCACCAAUGUUUUCUUGUUUGGGAUUUGUUCUCAGGAGAUCGAGGAUAUGCACUGGCCCCCUGGUUAAUAAUCCUACUAACUAACCCUCAGACUCGCCAGGAGGUUUCAUUCAAUCAGAAGCAUGCACGCACUUGCUCCACCGUCAAGCAUACAAUUGGAUUCUUAAAGGGACGCUGGAUGUGUUUGGACACAGCAGGUUACAAGAUGCUUUACAAACCGGAAAAGGUUUGUAGGAUAACCAUGGCCUGCUGUGUAUUGCACAACAUUGCAAUGAAGUGUGGGGUACAACUUCCCCCUCAGCCACAACAAUGAGGAUGUGCGUCCUGAGGUGCUCCUGAGACCAGACAACAGGUUCGCUGUCC